GACGAACGCUGGCGGCGUGCCUAAUACAUGCAAGUCGAACGAGAGCGACCGGUUCUUGCUCUGGUCAAUCUAGUGGCGCACGGGUGAGUAAAACGUGUGUAACCAGUCCACUAGACGGGGAUAACAUCCGGAAACGGAUGCUAAAAUCCCCUAGGUCUUCGAGCCGUAUCGCUUGUAUAGGAAAAGAGGCCCAAGCUUCUGCUGAUGGCUUGACCCGCGGUGCAUUAGCUAGUUGGUGAGGUAACGGCUCACCAAGGCCGGGAUGCAUAGCCGACCUGAGAGGGUGAUCGGCCACAUUGGGACUGAGACACGGCCCAAACUCCUACGGGAGGCAGCAGUAGGGAAUCUUCCGCAAUGGACGCAAGUCUGACGGAGCAACGCCGCGUGAGUGAAGAAGGUUUUCGGAUCGUAAAACUCUGUUGUUAGAGAAGAACAAGUGCUAGAGUAACUGUUAGCGCCUUGACGGUAUCUAACCAGAAAGCCACGGCUAACUACGUG
RNAcentral lists this ribosomal RNA (498 nucleotides) under uncultured bacterium. Its description in RNAcentral is "partial 16S ribosomal RNA". It matches the Rfam family "Bacterial small subunit ribosomal RNA", at positions 28 to 507 of the family's 1533-position model. The record is from RNAcentral.